ACGAGCAUAGCUUAACUGAAUAGAGCUUCGUCAUACGAAGGCGAAAGGUCGGGGUUUGAAUCCCUGUGCUUGCA
This 74-nucleotide transfer RNA is filed under the name Klebsiella phage KP12. Its description in RNAcentral is "tRNA-Arg". It matches the Rfam family "tRNA". From Rfam's summary of the family: Transfer RNA (tRNA) molecules are approximately 80 nucleotides in length. Their secondary structure includes four short double-helical elements and three loops (D, anti-codon, and T loops). Lineage: Duplodnaviria; Heunggongvirae; Uroviricota; Caudoviricetes. The record is from RNAcentral.